UGGGAUAUAGCCAAGUUGGUUAAGGCAUCGGAUUUUGAUUCCGAGAUUCGCAGGUUCGAGUCCUGCUAUCCCAGCCA
Molecule: transfer RNA, 77 nt
Filed under: Bacillota bacterium
Lineage: Bacteria; Bacillati; Bacillota
Description: tRNA-Gln
Rfam family: tRNA
About the family: Transfer RNA (tRNA) molecules are approximately 80 nucleotides in length. Their secondary structure includes four short double-helical elements and three loops (D, anti-codon, and T loops). Further hydrogen bonds mediate the characteristic L-shaped molecular structure. tRNAs have two regions of fundamental functional importance: the anti-codon, which is responsible for specific mRNA codon recognition, and the 3' end, to which the tRNAs corresponding amino acid is attached (by aminoacyl-tRNA synthetases). tRNAs cope with the degeneracy of the genetic code in two manners: having more than one tRNA (with a specific anti-codon) for a particular amino acid; and 'wobble' base-pairing, i.e. permitting non-standard base-pairing at the 3rd anti-codon position.
Source: RNAcentral